AGUGAAAUGGAUUUCCGCCUAAAGAGAAGCUUGCGGCUGAUUAGCUUGUUGGUAGGGUAAUGGCCUACCAAGGCGACGAUCAGUAUCUGGUUUGAGAGGACGAUCAGACACACUGGAACUGAGACACGGUCCAGACUCCUACGGGAGGCAGCAGUAGGGAAUUUUCCGCAAUGGGCGAAAGCCUGACGGAGCAAUACCGCGUGAGGGAUGACUGCCUAUGGGUUGUAAACCUCUUUUUUCAGGGAGGAAUAAAUGACGUGUACCUGAAGAAUAAGCAUCGGCUAACUCCGUGCCAGCAGCCGCGGUAAGACGGAGGAUGCAAGUGUUAUCCGGAAUCACUGGGCGUAAAGCGUCUGUAGGUGGCUCGACAAGUCAACUGUUAAAUCUUGAAGCUCAACUUCGAAAUCGCAGUCGAAACUAUCGAACUAGAGUAUAGUAGAGGUAAAGGGAAUUUCCAGUGGAGCGGUGAAAUGCGUAGAGAUUGGAA
RNAcentral lists this ribosomal RNA (487 nucleotides) under uncultured bacterium. RNAcentral describes it as "bacterial SSU rRNA". It matches the Rfam family "Bacterial small subunit ribosomal RNA", at positions 198 to 702 of the family's 1533-position model. The record is from RNAcentral.